CGCGUAGGCGGCGGACCAAGUCGAGUGUGAAAGCCCCGGGCUCAACCUGGGAGGUGCGCUCGAGACUGGUUUGCUGGAGUUCGGGAGAGGAGAGUGGAAUUCCCAGUGUAGAGGUGAAAUUCGUAGAUAUUGGGAAGAACACCGGUGGCGAAGGCGGCUCUCUGGACCGAGACUGACGCUGAGGCGCGAAAGCGUGGGGAGCAAACAGGAUUAGAUACCCUGGUAGUCCACGCUGUAAACGAUGUGUGCUAGACGUUGGGGAGCGCAGCUCUUCGGUGUCGCAGCAAACGCUUUAAGCACACCGCCUGGGGAGUACGGCCGCAAGGUUAAA
Molecule: ribosomal RNA, 331 nt
Filed under: uncultured bacterium
Lineage: Bacteria
Description: bacterial SSU rRNA
Rfam family: Bacterial small subunit ribosomal RNA
Source: RNAcentral